This 485-nucleotide ribosomal RNA is filed under the name uncultured bacterium. Its description in RNAcentral is "bacterial SSU rRNA". It matches the Rfam family "Bacterial small subunit ribosomal RNA", at positions 30 to 509 of the family's 1533-position model. The record is from RNAcentral.
AUUGAACGCUGGCGGCAUGCUUUACACAUGCAAGUCGAACGGCAGCGCGGGGGCAACCCUGGCGGCGAGUGGCGAACGGGUGAGUAAUGUAUCGGAACGUACCUUUCAGUGGGGGAUAACGUAGCGAAAGUUACGCUAAUACCGCAUAUUCUGUGAGCAGGAAAGCAGGGGAUCGCAAGACCUUGCGCUGAUUGAGCGGCCGAUAUCAGAUUAGCUAGUUGGUGAGGUAAAGGCUCACCAAGGCGACGAUCUGUAGCGGGUCUGAGAGGAUGAUCCGCCACACUGGGACUGAGACACGGCCCAGACUCCUACGGGAGGCAGCAGUGGGGAAUUUUGGACAAUGGGCGCAAGCCUGAUCCAGCCAUGCCGCGUGAGUGAAGAAGGCCUUCGGGUUGUAAAGCUCUUUCGGUUGGGAAGAAUUGCUUCGGUUAAUACCCGGAGUAGAUGACGGUACCAGCAUAAGAAGCACCGGCUAACUACGUGCC